This 500-nucleotide ribosomal RNA is filed under the name uncultured bacterium. RNAcentral describes it as "partial 16S ribosomal RNA". It matches the Rfam family "Bacterial small subunit ribosomal RNA", at positions 30 to 523 of the family's 1533-position model. The record is from RNAcentral.
AUUGAACGCUGGCGGCAGGCCUAACACAUGCAAGUCGAGCGGAUGAGAGGAGCUUGCUUCUCGAUUCAGCGGCGGACGGGUGAGUAAUGCCUAGGAAUCUGCCUGGUAGUGGGGGACAGCGUUUCGAAAGGAACGCUAAUACCGCAUACGUCCUACGGGAGAAAGCAGGGGACCUUCGGGCCUUGCGCUAUCAGAUGAGCCUAGGUCGGAUUAGCUAGUUGGUGAGGUAAUGGCUCACCAAGGCGACGAUCCGUAACUGGGCUGAGAGGAUGAUCAGUCACACUGGAACUGAGACACGGUCCAGACUCCUACGGGAGGCAGCAGUGGGGAAUAUUGGACAAUGGGCGAAAGCCUGAUCCAGCCACGCCGCGUGUGUGAAGAAGGUCUUCGGAUUGUAAAGCACUUUAAGUUGGGAGGAGGGGUUGUAGAUUAAUACUCUGCAAUUUUGACGUUACCGACAGAAUAAGCACCGGCUAACUCUGUGCCAGCAGCCGCCGUAA